Long non-coding RNA from Mustela lutreola (European mink), 2201 nucleotides. RefSeq lists it as uncharacterized. The record is from RefSeq and is a predicted model, not a curated record. The transcript is spliced from 5 exons. Lineage: Eukaryota; Metazoa; Chordata; Mammalia; Carnivora; Mustelidae.
GAGGUGGGGGGCAUGUGCAAGCCGGGUAACGGCCCAGGGUUCGCACGUGGAGGUGGAGUGUGGACUCUCCCCAAAGCUAGAGGAGGAUGAAGGAACUGGGAGUGAAAUAUACCUUAAGUUUAGACUUUGACAAGUUAUGAUAUUGGUUAAAAUUCCUUGUUGCAAACAACACACUGCAAGCAAGAAUUUCUUAAAUUGAUGUUCAGCAGCUCCAGGGUCAUUGGGUAAGCUAAACAAACAAACAAACAAACGGGAAGGCUUGGAUUAAAGUGCCAGAAAAAAAAUACCCUAAACCGUGCAACAGAACUGACAUGAUAAAGAAACUGCUGCUAUUCCCAUCAACACCAAAUGCCAUGAACUCAGCUUUCCUUCAUCUGUUCCUGCUAUCAGCCAAUUCUGUGUCAGAACUUUGAUCUUACAACCGAUGCCACCUUUACAGUCUGGAUGCCUCUUCUACCUUUACCUGUACCAGGAAAAUGGAAGUUCUGGCUAGAUCAUGAUUGUGUAUGUCAAAGAACAAAGAAAGGACUCAGAAACCAUAACUGGAGCACCAAUGUUUAACACAGCCCUGAAAGAACACGUUUUUACAGGAAGCAAAGAGGAACUCUCAAGGGUAUUUCACCAUAAGCUUAAAGGAUAAAAUGUUGGAAGCAGACCUAAAGUUAGAAUGGAUAUGACAAUUUGCCAAGGCAGACGAAAGACACUCUGAAGGUAAGUGCAGUUCUAACUACUCUUGAUAGAAUUCUUCAAAGAAAUAAAACAUUUAAUGUUUCUAAUGUUUUAAGUAACACUCUUUGUAAAUGUAAGUUUUCCUAUUUUUAAAAUGUCCCUAUGUGUUUGUAAGUGAAAGUCUUCAAUAUUUUGGAAAAAAGAUAUUAUGGGGCAGUUGUCAUUUUUCCUGUUAAUUAUCAAGAUUGCUUUGUACACUUUCAGCUUGCCUGGUCAUUUUUGUGCUCCUGCACUAGCAUGCAAAGUGAGGACAGCCUGUAUACAGGUAGAAUAAGAACAAAUUCAAAACGAUGGAUUGUACUAAUGCCUUGGCAGUGUAAGUCUAUUUUAAAGUAUAACUAGAGUCUGAAAAAAAAAAGGUGCAGUAAUAUUGUAGACACAUCUGCCAGGGCAAACCAAUAAUCCAGGUACGUAUUUCAAAGGUGUGUGAUGCAUUUGAGACAGAGAUCACCUGGGUAUUCAUUUGUUUGGUGUGGAGGAAGACUGUAAGAAGAAAGGGAUGAAAAACAGGUGUGAAUCUCCAUGUAAUGUCUCAUCCUCAGAAAACAUGGCAUCUGCUGUCAAACGAUCUUAACAUUUGCUUCCUUCAAGAAGAAGUCUGCACCAAUUAGAAAACCAUCAGCUGCAGGCUGGCAACAAAUGGUGACAGCUGUACCAGGCAUCACAUCCAAAUGCCAUGUUGUCCAGAGGCAGAUAGGGGCUGUCUCUUCUACAGUCUGCUUCUCAGGAGGAAAGAAAUGCCCUCCAUCCUGUCAGCCACAACGGAUCCCUGGCCACGGUAUCAGUCAGGGUUCAAGAUAGAAAACUAAAGCCACUCUACGUAUUCUGGAUUGGAGGGGCUUAACAUAGAAUUUGGGGGCAUAUGCAACUCCUGGGAAAGCCGGGGAAGCAGACUUCAGAAACUCUCUCCUUAAAGAUCAGAGGAGUUGACCCCGAAUAACCUUAGCCUCAAACACCUAAGUGUGUAAUUCCUCAAAUUUGUGCUAGGAAGCUGCUGGGACUCUCUCAUCUACCCACCUAUACAGCUACAAUCAUCUCUAGAGGAAGAACAGCACCCUCUUUGCAAAUCCUGAGCCUAGUUCCUCUUGUGAGCAAUGACCCGGAACAGGACAGAAACUGAUUCUGGAGAGCAUGCAUGGGUCCUAGACUUAGAGGGGAAUAGUGGACCACAUUGAAAGCAGACAAUCCAGCAUACCCACCCUAAAGUAGCUCCAGCAAAGGGGAAUGGUCCACUGAGAUUGAUUGAGGACCAUUAGGCUUUCCCUUUGAUCCUGCAGGUAGGGUAAAGUCACUCUCAACAUGUUGCUUGAGGGAGGAUUGAAACCCACCCUCCUCCCUCGCAAAUCAUGUUUGACGAGCAAGGAAAGUAAGGAAAAACUGUUGGUUAGACAACCAGUGGUGCCUGUUCCAUGCUGGGUCUCAGCAUAAUCAUAAUUUUCUUUGCAAAUAAACAUAUUUGUUACCAAAGUAGC